Molecule: transfer RNA, 83 nt
Filed under: Rothia nasimurium
Lineage: Bacteria; Bacillati; Actinomycetota; Actinomycetes; Micrococcales; Micrococcaceae
Also listed under: 8 other names
Description: tRNA-Leu
Rfam family: tRNA
About the family: Transfer RNA (tRNA) molecules are approximately 80 nucleotides in length.
Source: RNAcentral
GCCCAAGUGGCGGAAUUGGCAGACGCGCCGCACUCAAAAUGCGGUUCUUCGGAGUGUGGGUUCGAGUCCCACCUUGGGCACCA